UAGGUUAGGAAAUCUAGUGUGUAGGGAGUGAUGAAGAUAGUUGAUUUGGGGACGGGGGGGGGGCGAAAAAAGGAACAGGAAAUUUCUUAAGGGGGGGAGCGUUGAUCCGAUGAUCGAUAACUAGUCGAAACCCCUUCCGUAAGGGUGAACCUGCGGAAGGAUCAUUACCGAGUUUUCGAGCUUCGGCUCGACUCUCCCACCCUUUGUGAACGUACCUCUGUUGCUUUGGCGGCUUCGGCCGCCAAAGGACCUUCAAACUCCAGUCAGUAAACGCAGACGUCUGAUAAACAAGUUAAUAAACUAAAACUUUCAACAACGGAUCUCUUGGUUCUGGCAUCGAUGAAGAACGCAGCGAAAUGCGAUAAGUAAUGUGAAUUGCAGAAUUCAGUGAAUCAUCGAAUCUUUGAACGCACAUUGCGCCCCUUGGUAUUCCGGGGGGCAUGCCUGUUCGAGCGUCAUUACAACCCUCAAGCUCUGCUUGGAAUUGGGCACCGUCCUCACUGCGGACGCGCCUCAAAGACCUCGGCGGUGGCUGUUCAGCCCUCAAGCGUAGUAGAAUACACCUCGCUUUGGAGCGGUUGGCGUCGCCCGCCGGACGAACCUUCUGAACUUUUCUCAAGGUUGACCUCGGAUCAGGUAGGGAUACCCGCUGAACUUAAGCAUAUCAAUAAGGCGGGAGGAAAGAUCAUUACCGAGUUUUCGAGCUUCGGCUCGACUCUCCACCUUUGUGGAACGUACCUCUGUGGGCUUUUGGCGGGCUUUCGGCCGCCAAAGGGACUUUAAACUCUGUCGUUAAAACGCAGACGUCUGGAUGAAACAAUUUUAUAUAAGACUAAAAACUUUUCAACGAACGGGAAUCUCUGAGGGGUUCUGGGCACUCGAAUGGAAAGAAACGCACGCGAAAAAUGGCGGAUAAAGAUAAAAUGGUGGAAAUUUGGCAGAAAAUUUCAGUUGGAAAUCCAUCCGAAAUCUUUUUGAAAACGCAAAAUUUGGCGCCCCCUUUGGGGUUAUUUUCCCGGGGGGGGGGGCAAUGGCCCUGGUUUUCUAAAGAGGCUCCAUUUUAACAAAC
This 1069-nucleotide ribosomal RNA is filed under the name uncultured Lasiodiplodia. RNAcentral describes it as "eukaryotic LSU rRNA". The stretch from base 305 to 458 matches the Rfam family "5.8S ribosomal RNA". The record is from RNAcentral. Lineage: Eukaryota; Fungi; Ascomycota; Dothideomycetes; Botryosphaeriales; Botryosphaeriaceae.